Molecule: non-coding RNA, 677 nt
Organism: Paramuricea clavata
Lineage: Eukaryota; Metazoa; Cnidaria; Anthozoa; Malacalcyonacea; Plexauridae
Source: the annotation of a GenBank genome assembly
GGUUUAUGGUCCAGUUCCAUCAACUAGUACUACCACUGUGACCAUCAACAUUCCUUUAAGAAUUUGCGGGCUCAAACUCAUGCCGGCGGCCAUUUUUCGGGACGAAUAGAUUUGGUCAUCUGGAAAGUGUUUACAAUCCAUCAUAUAUUUAAACCAUCCUUUUAUAAAUAAAUCCUUGCUCUUUUUGUCUGAUUUUUAUGAGAAAUGUACCAAACAAGUAUUUUAUCACUAUUUGAUGUAUUGAGUAAUAUGUAAACAAUAACAAAAGCCCACAAUGCAUGUCAUGACCCUGACACUAAUCCUUUAAAUGAUUCAAGUACAGAGUCUUCAAAUUCAGUUAAUGAUGAUGAUUAAGUUACAGGUAUUACACCACGACUUCUUCUUCAAAGGAUCUCCUGCAAAAAAUAUUUUAACCAAUUAGAUUUCUGAACAGUAAUAUAAAUAUAAAUUAAUCAUUUCCCAGACUUUGGGGAGAGAUUUUACAGACUUCUGAUGGUCAGAAAACGACAUUCUAACAUAUCAGAAACCCUGGCCAAUGUUUUUGCUCUACAGCCUGAGCCUGGGGGGGCCCCAUUUGGCCCAUUGGGGUUGGGGGCUGACGGGUUCGCCCGGUCCGAGCCCAUAGUAGUUAUGCCACUGCUGCUGAUUCAGACACAUUUCUGGUGACCAGCUUGUCA